Coffea arabica (coffee) is the source of this 309-nucleotide long non-coding RNA. RefSeq lists it as uncharacterized. The record is from RefSeq and is a predicted model, not a curated record. Lineage: Eukaryota; Viridiplantae; Streptophyta; Magnoliopsida; Gentianales; Rubiaceae.
UUUUCUUUAAUUUUUCCAAAUAAAUUGGUGCCUUGACCAUCUCUUUUAUUUUGGAGGAUAAAUAAGUGAUUUCACUUCAUUGGGGCCCAAUUGCAAGGGAGGAAUGGAGGAAGUGAACUUCGGGAGGAACCCCUUUUGAUGUAUUUUUGGUAUUAGGGUUUCAAAUGUUUUGGCUGGACUCGUGAUUGUUGUAUAGUUUGGGGAACUGAUGUAUCUUUUGGGAACUUGAUGUAAGGAUUGAAUAACUGAUGUAUUUUGAACUCGUGGUGUGAGCCUUGGAUGGUUGAUUAUGGAAGUGACUUUUCUUUA